Molecule: long non-coding RNA, 671 nt
Filed under: Panax ginseng (ginseng)
Lineage: Eukaryota; Viridiplantae; Streptophyta; Magnoliopsida; Apiales; Araliaceae
Description: long non-coding RNA (PGIN_LNC016336)
Source: RNAcentral
UCCGAUCGAAAAGGAGUUUAAUGUGCAACAAAGGCCAAUUUAGGUUUCUCCUCCCCACCUUGAGGCAAAACUGAUAUACGGAUGUUUCAAUCAAGAGAUCGCGAGUGCUUAAAGCCAAGAGAAUAGAGAAUUUGAGUGUUUCCCUGCCCGAUUUCUUCAUUUGAUCACGAGUGCUUAAAGCUCUGGCGAGGAGUGAUGACAACAGCUUACCCGAGAGUAGAGCAGACGACGGCGAGAUACAUAAUGGAAAUACAGGCUCAGAAGAAGGUUUAUUUACUCUACAACCACACUGAUGCGUGCAAGUUCUCCAGGUGGAAUGCUAGGUUAAUUACUCUUACUCAUCAGUUGAAUUCCAUAGUUUCUUUCUGCUAAUUAAUCGGAUUGGGAGGGCGACUUAUAUAAUAAAAACAAGUGGAUUCGUGUUCUAAGAAGCUCUUGAUUUUAGUUUAAUAUUGACUUAAUAAGGUUUUAAGUCUACUGAGUUCAAUUCUUGAGAGGGAAUUUUAUUUUUUACUUUUUAGUUAGCUUAGCUAUAGUUAUUUUGUUUCGUUAGAUAAUGUAGAAUUCACUUGUUGUGGCAGGGAGUCUUACCAGUUCAUGUAUGCAAGGCCAUGGCAAAAAGUUGUAGAUUUUUACUCGAAUUUGGUGAAGAGUAACAUAUCUUUAUUNNN